RNAcentral lists this ribosomal RNA (933 nucleotides) under uncultured bacterium. RNAcentral's name for it is "bacterial SSU rRNA". It matches the Rfam family "Bacterial small subunit ribosomal RNA", at positions 8 to 916 of the family's 1533-position model. The record is from RNAcentral.
AGAGUUUGAUCAUGGCUCAGAACUAACGCUGGCGGCGUGCCUAACACAUGCAGGUCGAACGAGAAAGUUGGCUUCGGCCGAUGAGUAAAGUGGCGCACGGGUGAGUAACGCGUGGAUAAUCUGCCCCUGAGUUCGGAAUAACGUACCGAAAGGUGCGCUAAUACCGGAUAAUACUGAGUGACUACUGUCACUUAGUCAAAGAAGGCUUCUGUUUACAUGCUUUUGCUUUGGGAUGAGUCCGCGUACCAUUAGCUAGUUGGUAGGGUAAUGGCCUACCAAGGCGACGAUGGUUAGCUGGUCUGAGAGGAUGAUCAGCCACACUGGAACUGAGACACGGUCCAGACUCCUACGGGAGGCAGCAGUGAGGAAUAUUGCGCAAUGGGGGCAACCCUGACGCAGCAACGCCGCGUGAGUGAGGAAGGUUUUCGGACCGUAAAGCUCUGUCGAGCGGGAAGAAAUACAUCAUGGCUAAUAUCCAUGGUGCUUGACGGUACCGCUAAAGGAAGCACCGGCUAACUCCGUGCCAGCAGCCGCGGUAAUACGGGGGGUGCAAGCGUUGUUCGGAAUUAUUGGGCGUAAAGAGCGUGUAGGCGGCUGAAUAAGUCAGAUGUGAAAUCCCUGGGCUUAACCCAGGACGUGCAUUUGAAACUAUUCAGCUUGAGUAGGGGAGAGGAAAGUGGAAUUCCUGGUGUAGAGGUGAAAUUCGUAGAUAUCAGGAGGAACACCGGUGGCGAAGGCGACUUUCUGGCCCUAUACUGACGCUGAGGCGCGAGAGCGUGGGUAGCAAACAGGAUUAGAUACCCUGGUAGUCCACGCUGUAAACGAUGUUCACUAGGUGUUGGGGGUAUUGACCCUCUCAGUGCCGCAGCUAACGCAUUAAGUGAACCGCCUGGGGAGUACGGUCGCAAGAUUAAAACUCAAAUGAAUUGACGG